AACAGAAGCUCAUCCAGCUUGCGGUGCCUGCCUCCACCUGUCAGUGGAUCACCAGCUUCCUGACCAACAGGAGACAGCGUGUGAGGCUGGGGGGGCAUCACAUCUGACACCCGGACCACCAACACUGGAGCCCCUCAGGGCUCCUGAAGUAUGCAGACAACACCACUCUCAUCGGACUGAUCCAGGACGGUGAUGAGACUGCGUACAGACAGGAGGUGGAGCGGCUGGUCCACUGGUGCAGUCAAAACCAUCUGGAGCUGAACCCGCUCAAGACCGUGGAGAUGACAGUGGAUUUCAGGCGAGACCCUUCACCACUUUUACCCCUCACUAGCCGCAGUAAUACUAUUCUCUCCACAGACACCUUCAAGUUCCUGGGAACCACAAUCUCUCGGGACCUGAAAUGGACCGGCCACAUAGACUCUGUCCGGAAGAUGGCCCAGCAGAGGCUGUACUUCCUGAGACAGCUCAAGAAGUUCAACCUGCCGCGAGAGCUUCUGACGACCUUCUACACUGCCAUCAUCCAGUCUGUCCUCUGCACCUCCAUCACUGUCUGGUUUGGAUCGGCCUCCAAACAAGACAAGCACAGACUACAACGGACAAUCAGAACUGCAGAAAAGAUCAUUGGAAUCAACCUCCCAUCUAUCCAAGACUUGUACCUGUCCAGGACCAGGAAUCGGGCAAGGAACAUCUCUACAGACCCUUCUCACCCAGGUUGCAGUCUGUUUGAACUACUCCCCUCCGGACGGCGUUAUAGAGCUCGGUACGCCAAAACCAGCAGACGCAGAGACAGCUUCUUCCCCCAGGCUGUUGCUCUGAUGAACUCACACCACCCAUAGAGUCUCAGAGACAUUACUGUGCAAUAACAUCCUGCUCUUAACACCUUUUUGAAUUUGUCUACACUGUUUUUGCCAUUAUUCACAUGUCCUGAAUGUUGUUAGUCACCUAAAUGUUGAACAGAGGGUGUGUUUUUACCAAAGUCAAAUUCCUUGUUUGGCACGCUCAAACAUGGCAAAUAAAAAACUCUUGAAUCUUGAA
This is a long non-coding RNA of Syngnathus typhle (broad-nosed pipefish), 1035 nucleotides long. RefSeq lists it as uncharacterized. The transcript is spliced from 2 exons. Lineage: Eukaryota; Metazoa; Chordata; Actinopteri; Syngnathiformes; Syngnathidae. The record is from RefSeq and is a predicted model, not a curated record.